GACGAACGCUGGCGGCGUGCUUAAUACAUGCAAGUCGAACGGAAAGGCCCUGCUUUUGUGUGGUGCUCGAGUGGCGAACGGGUGAGUAACACGUGAGUAACCUUCCCUGUACUUUGGGAUAACUUCAGGCAACUGGUGCUACUACCGGAUAGGAGCUCCUGCUGCAGGGUGGGGGUUGGAAAUUUUCGGCGGUUGGGGAUGGACGCGCGGCUUAUCAGCUUGUGGGGUGGGUAGUGGCUUACCAAGUCUUUGACGGGUAGCCGGCCUGAGAGGGUGACCGGCCACAUUGGGACUGAGAUACGGCCCAGACUGCUACGGGAGGCAGCAGUGGGGAAUAUUGUCCAAUGGGCGGAAGCCUGAUGAAGAAACGCCGCGUGCGGGAUGAAGGCUUUCGGGUUGUAAACCGCUUUAGCCUGUGACGAAGCGUGAGUGACGGUAAUGGGUAAAGAAGCACCGGCUAACUACGUG
RNAcentral lists this ribosomal RNA (468 nucleotides) under uncultured bacterium. Its description in RNAcentral is "partial 16S ribosomal RNA". It matches the Rfam family "Bacterial small subunit ribosomal RNA", at positions 28 to 507 of the family's 1533-position model. The record is from RNAcentral.